UACGGAGGGUGCAAGCGUUAUCCGGAUUCACUGGGUUUAAAGGGUACGUAGGUGGGUUGGUAAGUCAGUGGUGAAAUCUCCGUGCUUAACAUGGAAACUGCCAUUGAUACUACUGAUCUUGAAUUUUCAGGAGGUAAGCGGAAUAUGUCAUGUAGCGGUGAAAUGCCUAGAUAUGACAUAGAACACCAAUUGCGAAGGCAGCUUACUACAGGAAUAUUGACACUGAUGCACGAAAGCGUGGGGAUCAAACAGG
RNAcentral lists this ribosomal RNA (253 nucleotides) under uncultured bacterium. Its description in RNAcentral is "partial 16S ribosomal RNA". It matches the Rfam family "Bacterial small subunit ribosomal RNA", at positions 524 to 776 of the family's 1533-position model. The record is from RNAcentral.